This 395-nucleotide ribosomal RNA is filed under the name uncultured Dietzia sp. Its description in RNAcentral is "bacterial SSU rRNA". It matches the Rfam family "Bacterial small subunit ribosomal RNA", at positions 989 to 1382 of the family's 1533-position model. The record is from RNAcentral. Lineage: Bacteria; Bacillati; Actinomycetota; Actinomycetes; Mycobacteriales; Dietziaceae.
UACAGGUACGACGGCAGAGAUGUCGUUUCCCUUGUGGCUUGUAGUACAGGUGGUGCAUGGUUGUCGUCAGCUCGUGUCGUGAGAUGUUGGGUUAAGUCCCGCAACGAGCGCAACCCCUGUCUCAUGUUGCCAGUCACGUAAUGGUGGGACUCGUGAGAGACUGCCGGGGUCAACUCGGAGGAAGGUGGGGAUGACGUCAAAUCAUCAUGCCCCUUAUGUCUAGGGCUUCACACAUGCUACAAUGGCUAGUACAGAGGGCUGCGAUACCGCGAGGUGGAGCGAAUCCCAGAAAGCCGGUCUCAGUUCGGAUUGGGGUCUGCAACUCGACCCCAUGAAGUCGGAGUCGCUAGUAAUCGCAGAUCAGCAACGCUGCGGUGAAUACGUUCCCGGGCCUU